UACGUAGGGUGCGAGCGUUAAUCGGAAUUACUGGGCGUAAAGUGUGCGCAGGCGGCCAUGCAAGUCGAGUGCGAAAGCCCCGGGCUUAACUUGGGAAUUGCGCUCGAAACUACGUGGCUGGAGUGUGGCAGAGGAAGGUGGAAUUCCACGUGUAGCGGUGAAAUGCGCAGAUAUCCGGAGGAACACCGGUGGCGAAGGCGGCUUCCUGGACCGACACUGACGCUGAGGCGCGAAAGCUAGGGGAGCAAACGGG
This 253-nucleotide ribosomal RNA is filed under the name uncultured bacterium. RNAcentral's name for it is "partial 16S ribosomal RNA". It matches the Rfam family "Bacterial small subunit ribosomal RNA", at positions 524 to 776 of the family's 1533-position model. The record is from RNAcentral.